UGAAAGCAACAAAUCCCCGUCAGGAUUCGCUGCAGUCAAUGGAAAAAAUAAUUAAAAAGAAAAGAAAUAUCUGCUUUGUUGUGAUCAAAUAUUAUGUCAAAGUAUAACCAGUUAUCCAAACAGUUGGAUCAGUUAAAUGUGUUAAAUAGUGAGCUUACAAACCUGAAAAAAACUGCGAGAGUUUAUACACAACAGCCUAAUAGUCAUAUCUUUUUUCUUGAUGAUUUAAACAAUGUGAAAUGUAAAACUAAAGAAAACAUUAAAGAAACUGAAGAAAAAUUGAAGAAAUGUCAAAAAUAAGAUCUGAAGUGAAGAGAAAGAAUCAUAUUUUUAUUUUAACACAAUCAAACUACUGAAAUCGAGCAACAGUAUUCUAGCCUUGGCAGGAACAAGAAAGUGGCAAUCAUCUUUGCAAGACUUCAUAUUAGAUACUGCUAGCUCAUCUAUUUUAACGGAGUGCACAUAUUUUACGGACGAUUGUAUUCGAAAACUUAACCAUUCCGAUGUUUAAUCCUGAUGAUCUUAUAGGACGCGUGAGUAAGGGUGCUCAGAGUCCAAAGGUGUUGAUGAGUCAGAGAAUAACCAC
Molecule: long non-coding RNA, 586 nt
Filed under: Androctonus crassicauda
Lineage: Eukaryota; Metazoa; Arthropoda; Arachnida; Scorpiones; Buthidae
Source: RNAcentral